UCGAGCAGCAGCUCACCACUACAAACUCCGCUCUGCUCUGUCAACAUGCCAGACUCUACUGAAGCUGUGCCAGCUGCAUGCCUUGUCAUUAAGGAGGACGUCGACAAGUGUGUCAGAGGAAAAGGUGCAGAGCGCUGUAAAGAUCUGAUAGAUGCCUUCCAAGCUUGUAUAAAAACCCUGUCAGAGGGGUCAUAACACACAAGAAAUACAUGCUAAUCGUUGCUGUAUCAAAGACCUCCUCUUCCCAGCAUUCCCUUCCUCUUUUGUGCUGGACUGAACCAUCUGAC
Molecule: long non-coding RNA, 287 nt
Organism: Labrus bergylta (ballan wrasse)
Lineage: Eukaryota; Metazoa; Chordata; Actinopteri; Labriformes; Labridae
Source: RefSeq, a predicted model, not a curated record